RNAcentral lists this transfer RNA (67 nucleotides) under Pseudoxanthomonas sp. OG2. RNAcentral's name for it is "tRNA-Gln". It matches the Rfam family "tRNA", at positions 5 to 66 of the family's 71-position model. Rfam says of the family: Transfer RNA (tRNA) molecules are approximately 80 nucleotides in length. Their secondary structure includes four short double-helical elements and three loops (D, anti-codon, and T loops). The record is from RNAcentral. Lineage: Bacteria; Pseudomonadati; Pseudomonadota; Gammaproteobacteria; Lysobacterales; Lysobacteraceae. RNAcentral also lists the same sequence under 3 other names.
GGAUAGCUCAGCUGGGUAGAGCAUCGGUUCCUUGAUACCGAGAGUCGCGGGUUCGACUCCCGCUCCA